UUAUCAUUAUGACCAAAAUACCUACAAGAACUUCUUAGAGGAGAAAAACUUUAUUUUGGGUUCAUGGAUUCAGAGAUUUCAUUUAUAGUCUGCCAAUUCCAUUGCUCUGGGCCCAAGGGUGGGUGAGGUGGAGGAAAUUUGCUCAGCUCCUGGCAGCCCAGAAGCAGAGAAAGAAAGGAGUGCCAAGGGCAUUUGCACCCUUCUAGAGCACACCCCCAGUGACCCACCUCCUCCAACCACACCCCACAUUCCUACAGUCACCACACUCAAGUUCAUCAGACUAGAUAAGCUGAUUAGAUUACAGCUCUCACAAUCCAAUCAUUUCACUUCUGAAUAUUCCUGCAUUAACACAGGAACUUUGGGGGGACAGCUCAGAUUCAAACCCUAAGAACCGAAAUACACACACAUUUAGUUAAGCUACAAGCAAGUGAGAUUAAUAUUAUUGAGGAGAAAAGAGUUAUAAAAAAGAUUUUUCAAUCAAUUAUUUUAAGAGAAAGUUGCCUCUAAUUUUCACAGUUCUAUUGUCUGCAGCAGGUAAGACUAGUUCUAAGGCCACUGGGUUGGCACUAUAUUGCUAUUUUUAACAUGUAUAAUGAUUAAAUCUAGAACUCAAUAUGAAUUUGUGAUACCAGAUGAUUUGAUUAAUCCACUUGAAAGUGAUGCAACAUAGUAAUAAGCCAAGCUUGCAGGAAAUGUUAAUUAAGCUAAAAAAUUAUUUAGGGCACAAAGGAAUUACUUAAUUACAAAAAGUAUCGAAUUCAGCUAAAACUUUCAUCUGUCCUUUAAAUGAGAGCAACAUUAUUUAGGAUAGUAUUUCCAACCACACAUUUAGGUGAAAAGGGUUUCAGUGCAGUGCAGCCAUUAGGGCAAAAGCAACAAAAUGUAACAGAACAUUUGGCAUUCCCUUUAACAGUUUUUAGCACUUCAUUAAAAUCCACCAAUAAAAUUAAAAUAUUUCAUAUUAGUGCUACAUGUUUCAGUUUUGGUCUCUCCUGCAGACUCUUGAGACAAAAUUUUAGGUACAGUUUGUCUUGGAAACCUCACAUUGGAAGAACAGGAAGUGAGACAGAGGAAGGGAGGGAUGAGAGCUCACAGAAAUGAAUUAUCAACCAGCUAGCACAACAGGAGCUUAAUCACAGCAGGAAAUCCCCGUAUCCCACAGGAGUGAAGGAGCU
This 1175-nucleotide long non-coding RNA is filed under the name Marmota monax (woodchuck). Lineage: Eukaryota; Metazoa; Chordata; Mammalia; Rodentia; Sciuridae. The record is from RNAcentral.